RNAcentral lists this ribosomal RNA (388 nucleotides) under uncultured bacterium. Its description in RNAcentral is "bacterial SSU rRNA". It matches the Rfam family "Bacterial small subunit ribosomal RNA", at positions 28 to 417 of the family's 1533-position model. The record is from RNAcentral.
GACGAACGCUGGCGGCGUGCUUAACACAUGCAAGUCGAGCGGUAAGGCCCUUUCGGGGGUACACGAGCGGCGAACGGGUGAGUAACACGUGGGUGACCUGCCCUCAGCUCUGGGAUAAGCCCGGGAAACUGGGUCUAAUACUGGAUAUUACUCUGCGGUGCAUGCCGUGGGGGUGGAAAGCCUUGUGCGGCUGGGGAUGGGCCCGCGGCCUAUCAGCUUGUUGGUGGGGUGAUGGCCACCAAGGCGACGACGGGUAGCCGGCCUGAGAGGGCGACCGGCCACACUGGGACUGAGACACGGCCCAGACUCCUACGGGAGGCAGCAGUGGGGAAUCUUGCGCAAUGGGCGAAAGCCUGACGCAGCGACGCCGCGUGAGGGAUGACGGCCU